Pomacea canaliculata is the source of this 1040-nucleotide long non-coding RNA. RefSeq lists it as uncharacterized. The transcript is spliced from 4 exons. The record is from RefSeq and is a predicted model, not a curated record. Lineage: Eukaryota; Metazoa; Mollusca; Gastropoda; Architaenioglossa; Ampullariidae.
UCCAGAAAUCCAGACAUCUUGCCGGAGGGUCGUCUGCUAUAAAAUGUUAGACCAAUCACACAGAAAAUGUCAACCACCUCUGUGACAGACAGUUCGGAGCCUGGAUGAAACCGUUUCUGCCUUCCGAGAAGCCGUUAGAGACGUUCCAGAUGAAGAUCUUGCAAACAGUGUGCAGACGGAAACUAUCAACACUUCGGCCAUCGAUCCAGCACUCCCCACAUCUCUGUACCCCGGGUGCCUGUGUCGACCGGCGGAGGGAGGAGCCCAGUGACUGUGGGGGGACCUGCGGGGAGCCGCUAUGAGAAGUGCUUCGUCUCCAGAUGCCAGAAAUGCUGGAUGUUAGGAACAACAAACAGACCCCUGGAGAGGAAGAAUGUCCUGUUGCAGCUGCACGCACGUGUACCCGUGUUCACUGCAUUUAUGGGCGAGAGUUCACAGCCAAAAUGUCAACACUAAUAAAACAACUGUUGAUAAAACAGAGAAUAAAAAUAAAGAGUGAUUGAUGAGCGAGACCUCGAGCUGCAGCCACCAGCUUCCUCCCGUCAUCCUCAGUUUUCUCACGCGGACCGGAGGAGCCUGGGAGGUCAAGUCCUGAACUCGUCUCCUAGUCCACAAGUUACAUAGCAUUCCUUACAAACUUUGCCACAGAGGUUGUCUGGAGAACAAAUGUUUCUUGAGCAAAAAAAAAAAACAAAAACAAAAAAAAAAACAACAACAACUUCAUUCUAAAAAAUCGUGACUUAGUCAGAUUUUAAAAUGUUUAUGGUUACAUUAUCAUGCUGACGCAUUUGUUGUUGCUGUUAUUAUUAGCAACGGCUUAGUGUACUGUGUUAAGUGAUGGAGACCAUGCGCGUGCUGAGAGUUCGUGAAUGCACUGACAGAUGGGCGAGGGCCUCACAAAAACAACAACGAGACAAAGUCAGAAUAACAUCUGGUUUCGAGAGCAUUGAAGUCACUGACACCUCACUCUACACCGGGUUGGGGACCUACAUUCACACACACACCACACACACCACACACACACACACACACACACACAC